RNAcentral lists this ribosomal RNA (760 nucleotides) under uncultured bacterium. RNAcentral describes it as "bacterial SSU rRNA". It matches the Rfam family "Bacterial small subunit ribosomal RNA", at positions 28 to 805 of the family's 1533-position model. The record is from RNAcentral.
GAUAAACGCUGGCGGCGUGCUUAACACAUGCAAGUCGAACGAAGUUUUUCUUUCGGGAGGAACUUAGUGGCGGACGGGUGAGUAACGCGUGGGUAACCUGCCCUGUACAGGGGGACAACAGCUGGAAACGGCUGCUAAUACCGCAUAAGCCCUUAGCACUGCAUGGUGCAUAGGGAAAAGGAGCAAUCCGGUACAGGAUGGACCCGCGUCUGAUUAGCCAGUUGGCAGGGUAACGGCCUACCAAAGCGACGAUCAGUAGCCGAUCUGAGAGGAUGUACGGCCACAUUGGGACUGAGACACGGCCCAGACUCCUACGGGAGGCAGCAGUGGGGAAUAUUGCACAAUGGAGGAAACUCUGAUGCAGCGACGCCGCGUGAGUGAAGAAGUAUUUCGGUAUGUAAAGCUCUAUCAGCAGGGAAGAAAAUGACGGUACCUGACUAAGAAGCACCGGCUAAAUACGUGCCAGCAGCCGCGGUAAUACGUAUGGUGCAAGCGUUAUCCGGAUUUACUGGGUGUAAAGGGAGCGUAGGUGGCAAGGCAAGCCAGAAGUGAAAACCCGGGGCUCAACCGCGGGAUUGCUUUUGGAACUGUCAUGCUAGAGUGCAGGAGGGGUGAGCGGAAUUCCUAGUGUAGCGGUGAAAUGCGUAGAUAUUAGGAGGAACACCGGAGGCGAAGGCGGCUCACUGGACUGUAACUGACACUGAGGCUCGAAAGCGUGGGGAGCAAACAAGAGUAGAUACCCUGGUAGUCCACGCGGUAA